RNAcentral lists this long non-coding RNA (927 nucleotides) under Triticum aestivum (bread wheat). RNAcentral's name for it is "long non-coding RNA (TAES_LNC004758)". The record is from RNAcentral. Lineage: Eukaryota; Viridiplantae; Streptophyta; Magnoliopsida; Poales; Poaceae.
CGUAAGUUAUUUUGGCUCAUGCUUUGCUAAAUUUGAAAGCGCAGACCUGCAUGUGUAUAUAACUAUAUAUACUUGUCCUCGUGGAAAUCCAAGUUGCUAUUCUUCAUAGCAUUAAACACAAUAAAUUUUACAGGAAUAUUGAUAGAGGGAUUCUAUAAAUUUAUUUAUGACUUUAUGAUUAUGUUUUUACUAUAGUUUAUGUUUCAAUUUGUACCUUGCAAACUGGCAAGUAAAAUAUCACUUAUUUAAGAAACAGAGUGCUGUUAAAAUGUGGCGGAUUACCUUUUAAAUGUUUUACAGGAUUCAACGAUAUAUGAGCAUCCUUCCAUGUCUACUUGUCUAGGGUAUAUUUUUUUCCAUUAAACUGAACUUCCUCGCAAAAAAAUUGUAUGUAAUACCCUCUUCUCCAUAAAUAAAUGACAUAUGCUUGGGCAGUAGGUCAUGCUUGGCAGAAUCGCCUCCUCCCGGUCUUCAGCACUCCUGCAGGAAUUGAGGGCCAGUGUGGUCGGGACACAUAGAACACCAACAAGCGACAAAAACGCACCACUCCGUAAGUUAUUUUGGCUCAUGCUUCGCUAAAUUUGAAAGCGCAGACCUGCAUGUGUAUAUAACUAUAUAUACUUGUCCUCGUGGAAAUCCAAGUUGCUAUUCUUCAUAGCAUUGAACACAAUAAAUUUUACAGGAAUAUUGAUAGAGGGAUUCUAUAAAUUUAUUUAUGACUUUAUGAUUAUGUUUUUACUAUAAUUUAUGUUUCAAUUUGUACCUUGCAAACUGGCAAGUAAAAUAUCACUUAUUUAAGAAACAGAGUGUUGUUAAAAUGUGGCGGAUUACCUUUUAAAUGUUUUACAGGAUUCAACGAUAUAUGAGCAUACUUCCAUGUCUACUUGAUCCUUUUAUACAGAAUAUGCAGCCAGAGUUUGGGCAAUG